Molecule: ribosomal RNA, 623 nt
Filed under: Escherichia coli
Lineage: Bacteria; Pseudomonadati; Pseudomonadota; Gammaproteobacteria; Enterobacterales; Enterobacteriaceae
Description: partial 23S ribosomal RNA
Rfam family: Bacterial large subunit ribosomal RNA
Source: RNAcentral
GGGUUGUGAGGUUAAGCGACUAAGCGUACACGGUGGAUGCCCUGGCAGUCAGAGGCGAUGAAGGACGUGCUAAUCUGCGAUAAGCGUCGGUAAGGUGAUAUGAACCGUUAUAACCGGCGAUUUCCGAAUGGGGAAACCCAGUGUGAUUCGUCACACUAUCAUUAACUGAAUCCAUAGGUUAAUGAGGCGAACCGGGGGAACUGAAACAUCUAAGUACCCCGAGGAAAAGAAAUCAACCGAGAUUCCCCCAGUAGCGGCGAGCGAACGGGGAGCAGCCCAGAGCCUGAAUCAGUGUGUGUGUUAGUGGAAGCGUCUGGAAAGGCGUGCGAUACAGGGUGACAGCCCCGUACACAAAAAUGCACAUGCUGUGAGCUCGAUGAGUAGGGCGGGACACGUGGUAUCCUGUCUGAAUAUGGGGGGACCAUCCUCCAAGGCUAAAUACUCCUGACUGACCGAUAGUGAACCAGUACCGUGAGGGAAAGGCGAAAAGAACCCCGGCGAGGGGAGUGAAAAAGAACCUGAAACCGUGUACGUACAAGCAGUGGGAGCACGCUUAGGCGUGUGACUGCGUACCUUUUGUAUAAUGGGUCAGCGACUUAUAUUCUGUAGCAAGGUUAACCGAA